GACGUCAAAUCAUCAUGCCCCUUAUGACCUGGGCUACACACGUGCUACAAUGGGAAGUACAACGAGUCGCGAAGUCGCGAGGCUAAGCUAAUCUCUUAAAGCUUCUCUCAGUUCGGAUUGUAGGCUGCAACUCGCCUACAUGAAGCCGGAAUCGCUAGUAAUCGCGGAUCAGCAUGUCGCGGUGAAUACGUUCCCGGGUCUUGUACACACCGCCCGUCACACCAUGGGAGCGGGUUCCGCCAGAAGUAGGUAGCCUAACCGCAAGGGGGGCGCUUACCACGGCGGGGUUCGUGACUGGGGUGAAGUCGUAACAAGGUAGCCGUAGGGGAACCUGCGGCUGGAUCACCUCCUUUCUAGA
Molecule: ribosomal RNA, 358 nt
Filed under: Aequorivita lutea
Lineage: Bacteria; Pseudomonadati; Bacteroidota; Flavobacteriia; Flavobacteriales; Flavobacteriaceae
Description: bacterial SSU rRNA
Rfam family: Bacterial small subunit ribosomal RNA
Source: RNAcentral